CUGAUCCAACUGAGAUGGAUCUUGA
This 25-nucleotide small nuclear RNA is filed under the name Arabidopsis thaliana (thale cress). RNAcentral describes it as "snRNA_00791". The record is from RNAcentral. Lineage: Eukaryota; Viridiplantae; Streptophyta; Magnoliopsida; Brassicales; Brassicaceae.